UCUCUCUCUCUCUUCAGAUCGAUUAAGGUUUCGAUUCAUCUGAAAAAGAGAGAUAAAGGAAGAGUUGGGCAAGGACUCCAUUAAGCCCCUCGACGCUUGCUGCCUCUGCCUCAAGCCCUUCAUCGACCCUCUCUGCUGCCAGAAAGGCCAUGUCUUCUAUAAGGAAUGCAUUCUCGAAUGCCUCCUCUCUCAAAAGAAGGACAUCCAAAGUUGAUCCAGACUAUUGAUAUGGUGGGCAUUCUAGUAGAUGGACCAUAUGUGGAAAGCCUUGAGGAUUGGUUGACGUUGUAGAUCACACUAAGAAGAGGUUACAAGAUUUGGAAGAGAAUGUUAGAAUGCAACAAUCAGAUGUUUCAUUGGUAGGAGAGGUAAUGUUCUGCUUUCCUUUACUUAUGAGCCCAAUUUCAUGUGUAUAGUGGUUAUGUGUUGGAUAUAUUGCUCAAGUUGCAGUUGGUAUCCUCAUUGUAUGAUCUGUCCCUUGUUUAUCCUUGUGACCUUGAUUCAAGGUGAUGACCUGUAAGCAUUGAUUGCACUCUAGGUACUAGUGGUCAAUCAAAUGCUAGAUGAGCACCCAAUGAAUCUUGUUCCUUUUGGUCUACUCCAAUGAGAUAUUUUCUCCCUAAUUCACAAGAUCUUGGAGGACCUUGUUGAGUUAAGAGCAAUGCUAUGAGGCUGGCUUUCUCACCUUGCUUAGAUUCCAUCCUCUGUAGUUCAAUUCAUAGAAAUUUUAUUAGCAAUGUCAGCAACACGCAAGCAGCAACUUCAGGUAUAUUGCUGUUGGAGAUGAACCAUUACCCCAAAGCUAUGGAGAACAGUUCAAGCCCUUUAUCGUUGGUGCAACAACAAAUAUCCAGUUGGCGCAACAACUACCGGCACAUUUGAGACUAUCAUAACACGCGAUAUUCCUAGAACAGAUUGCCCAUUACUUUGCCGGAGCCAACGAAAAUGGGAGAAGGUGAUGCAAAUGAAUUAGCAAAGCUAAGCGAAUUUCAACAGGAAUUGAUGCAAAUGGCUGCCACUUCGAAUGGGGAUCACAGUAGAGAUGUCUGAUUGUAGUUGAGGGAUCCUGUUAUUGGUAUGAUUGCCUUUUGUGUUCUAUGAGUUGGUUCCUCAUUUCCAUCGCUUUCACCUGAUCUGAAACAUUAAAAUUUCAACAGCACUUCACCUUAGGAAAGGUGAAUAAUACAAUGAGCAAGUUUUGUUUCUUUUCUACUUUGAAACUAUCAAUGCAUUGACUCUGCUGGUCAAAGUUUUCUUGGAUUCAUAGUUAUUUUUAAUGACUAUUA
Magnolia sinica is the source of this 1286-nucleotide long non-coding RNA. RefSeq lists it as uncharacterized. The transcript is spliced from 6 exons. NCBI's taxonomy places the organism in Eukaryota, Viridiplantae, Streptophyta, Magnoliopsida, Magnoliales, Magnoliaceae. The record is from RefSeq and is a predicted model, not a curated record.